RNAcentral lists this ribosomal RNA (452 nucleotides) under uncultured Streptococcus sp. RNAcentral's name for it is "bacterial SSU rRNA". It matches the Rfam family "Bacterial small subunit ribosomal RNA", at positions 929 to 1382 of the family's 1533-position model. Lineage: Bacteria; Bacillati; Bacillota; Bacilli; Lactobacillales; Streptococcaceae. The record is from RNAcentral.
GCGGUGGAGCAUGUGGUUUAAUUCGAAGCAACGCGAAGAACCUUACCAGGUCUUGACAUCCCGAUGCUAUUUCUAGGGAUAGAAAGUUACUUCGGUACAUCGGUGACAGGUGGUGCAUGGUUGUCGUCAGCUCGUGUCGUGAGAUGUUGGGUUAAGUCCCGCAACGAGCGCAACCCCUAUUGUUAGUUGCCAUCAUUCAGUUGGGCACUCUAGCGAGACUGCCGGUAAUAAACCGGAGGAAGGUGGGGAUGACGUCAAAUCAUCAUGCCCCUUAUGACCUGGGCUACACACGUGCUACAAUGGUUGGUACAACGAGUUGCGAGUCGGUGACGGCGAGCUAAUCUCUUAAAGCCAAUCUCAGUUCGGAUUGUAGGCUGCAACUCGCCUACAUGAAGUCGGAAUCGCUAGUAAUCGCGGAUCAGCACGCCGCGGUGAAUACGUUCCCGGGCCUU